GUUGUAGUCUGGAGAAGUGCUUUCCGCGCUGGACCGUGUACAAGUCUCUUGGAAUAGAGCGUCAUAGAGGGUGAGAAUCCCGUCUUUGACACGGACUACCAGUGCUUUGUGAUGCGCUCUCAAAGAGUCGAGUUGUUUGGGAAUGCAGCUCAAAAUGGGUGGUAAAUUCCAUCUAAAGCUAAAUAUUGGCGAGAGACCGAUAGCGAACAAGUACCGUGAGGGAAAGAUGAAAAGCACUUUGGAAAGAGAGUUAAACAGUACGUGAAAUUGCUGAAAGGGAAACGCUUGAAGUCAGUCGCGUCGUGUGGGACUCAGCCUUGCUUUUGCUUGGUGCACUUCCUGCAUGACGGGCCAGCAUCAAUUUCGACCGUUGGAUAAGGGCCGAAGGAAUGUGGCACCUCCGGGUGUGUUAUAGCCUUCGGUCGCAUACAACGAUUGGGAUUGAGGAACGCAGCGUGCCGCAAGGUAACGUUUGAGGAUGCUGGCAUAAUGGCUUUAAACGACCCGUCUUGAAACACGGACCAAGGAGUCUAACAUGCCUGCGAGUGUUUGGGUGGAAAACCCGAGCGCGUAAUGAAAGUGAAAGUUGAGACCUCUGUCGUGGAGGGCAUCGACGCCCGGACCAGACGUUUUCUGACGGAUCCGCGGUAGAGCAUGUAUGUUGGGACCCGAAAGAUGGUGAACUAUGCCUGAAUAGGGUGAAGCCAGAGGAAACUCUGGUG
Molecule: ribosomal RNA, 722 nt
Filed under: Favolus spatulatus
Lineage: Eukaryota; Fungi; Basidiomycota; Agaricomycetes; Polyporales; Polyporaceae
Also listed under: 1 other name
Description: LSU rRNA
Rfam family: Eukaryotic large subunit ribosomal RNA
Source: RNAcentral